AUACGGAGGGGGUUAGCGUUGUUCGGAAUUACUGGGCGUAAAGCGUACGUAGGCGGAUCAGAAAGUAUAGGGUGAAAUCCCAGGGCUCAACCCUGGAACUGCCUUAUAAACUCCUGGUCUUGAGUUCGAGAGAGGUGAGUGGAAUUCCAAGUGUAGAGGUGAAAUUCGUAGAUAUUUGGAGGAACACCAGUGGCGAAGGCGGCUCACUGGCUCGAUACUGACGCUGAGGUGCGAAAGCGUGGGGAGCAAACAGGAUUAGAAACCCCAGUAGUCC
Molecule: ribosomal RNA, 274 nt
Filed under: uncultured bacterium
Lineage: Bacteria
Description: partial 16S ribosomal RNA
Rfam family: Bacterial small subunit ribosomal RNA
Source: RNAcentral